Molecule: non-coding RNA, 29 nt
Filed under: Homo sapiens (human)
Lineage: Eukaryota; Metazoa; Chordata; Mammalia; Primates; Hominidae
Source: RNAcentral
UGGGUAGCAAUAAAGCCAUAAACGGGACU